AGAGUUUGAUCCUGGCUCAGAACGAACGCUGGCGGCAGGCCUAACACAUGCAAGUCGAGCGCGCCUUUCGGGGCGAGCGGCGGACGGGUUAGUAACGCGUGGGAAUAUACCCUUUGGUACGGAAUAGCCUCUGGAAACGGAGAGUAAUACCGUAUGAGCCCUUCGGGGGAAAGAUUUAUCGCCAAAGGAUUAGCCCGCGUUAGAUUAGGUAGUUGGUGGGGUAAUGGCCUACCAAGCCUACGAUCUAUAGCUGGUUUUAGAGGAUGAUCAGCAACACUGGGACUGAGACACGGCCCAGACUCCUACGGGAGGCAGCAGUGGGGAAUCUUGGACAAUGGGGGCAACCCUGAUCCAGCCAUGCCGCGUGAGUGAUGAAGGCCUUAGGGUCGUAAAGCUCUUUCGCCUGUGAAGAUAAUGACGGUAGCAGGUAAAGAAACCCCGGCUAACUCCGUGCCAGCAGCCGCGGUAAUACGGAGGGGGUUAGCGUUGUUCGGAAUUACUGGGCGUAAAGCGCACGUAGGCGGACUGGAAAGUUGGGGGUGAAAUCCCGGGGCUCAACCCCGGAACUGCCUCCAAAACUAUCAGUCUAG
This 590-nucleotide ribosomal RNA is filed under the name uncultured Alphaproteobacteria bacterium. RNAcentral's name for it is "bacterial SSU rRNA". It matches the Rfam family "Bacterial small subunit ribosomal RNA", at positions 8 to 644 of the family's 1533-position model. Lineage: Bacteria; Pseudomonadati; Pseudomonadota; Alphaproteobacteria. The record is from RNAcentral.